UAUGAAAUGUAUCUAAUCGAUAUUCCAUUAAUGGAGUCACAACUCAAUCUUAUCAGAGAUAAUACUUAUGUGACAUACCAAAUUAACCUAGAAAAUGAACAAAUGAAGUAGUCAUUAUCGUGUUCUAAAAUUUCCACAAUGGAAUAUGCUAAGUGUCUGGCGGUUUUGUUAAUACUUGGCGUAGUGAGUUGUGAUCUAUGUGAAAAGAACAUAGAAGAUUUGUUUACAAGUGAUAAUGGGCGGUGCCAAGAACAAUUCAAAGGUACUUUCAGUGUGACCGCUGUGAGCGUAAAUAAUGAAAAUGAUGUUUUAAAUGUAUUAACUCCGAAUGCAAAUCCAAGCUGUAUAGCCUCAGACACACUAUCAUUGGCUAGUGGUGGGAUUUUGAAAAUCAAGGUUUACUCAAAAUCAGUUGCUGUAGACGAUUACUUGACAGUGUCAGUGUAUGAGGCAGAAGAAAACAAUGUUGUUGGCCAAGCAACCCUCCUCGACGCUGACAACAGAGUUGAUGAUGGAUGGAACGUUUUAGAAGUUAUAUUAGAGGGAAAACCACAUUACAAUGGUUAUAUCAUGCUCGUUGGGAAAACUUCUUCAAACUCGGAAAUCCUGGUCGAAUCAAUCUGCUACUUUCCUGCAGAACAAAUGAAACUACUUCGCGAAGACUCCGAACUCACAACUCAUAAUGAAGCUGUACAGGCAGAUUCAAUUUUAAGUCAUCAAGUUCACAUUGAGUCAG
Molecule: long non-coding RNA, 736 nt
Organism: Cydia splendana
Lineage: Eukaryota; Metazoa; Arthropoda; Insecta; Lepidoptera; Tortricidae
Exons: 2
Source: RefSeq, a predicted model, not a curated record